AGCUAGCAUGGCAUAGUGGUUUAAGUGUUAGACUACAACUCUGGAGACCAGGGUUAGAUUCCCUGCUUGGCUA
Molecule: transfer RNA, 73 nt
Filed under: Phrynosoma platyrhinos (Desert horned lizard)
Lineage: Eukaryota; Metazoa; Chordata; Lepidosauria; Squamata; Phrynosomatidae
Description: tRNA-OTHER
Rfam family: tRNA (bases 10-73)
About the family: Transfer RNA (tRNA) molecules are approximately 80 nucleotides in length. Their secondary structure includes four short double-helical elements and three loops (D, anti-codon, and T loops). Further hydrogen bonds mediate the characteristic L-shaped molecular structure. tRNAs have two regions of fundamental functional importance: the anti-codon, which is responsible for specific mRNA codon recognition, and the 3' end, to which the tRNAs corresponding amino acid is attached (by aminoacyl-tRNA synthetases). tRNAs cope with the degeneracy of the genetic code in two manners: having more than one tRNA (with a specific anti-codon) for a particular amino acid; and 'wobble' base-pairing, i.e. permitting non-standard base-pairing at the 3rd anti-codon position.
Source: RNAcentral